Molecule: ribosomal RNA, 439 nt
Filed under: Aggregatibacter segnis
Lineage: Bacteria; Pseudomonadati; Pseudomonadota; Gammaproteobacteria; Pasteurellales; Pasteurellaceae
Description: bacterial SSU rRNA
Rfam family: Bacterial small subunit ribosomal RNA
Source: RNAcentral
GGCUUAACACAUGCAAGUCGAACGGUAACAGGAGAAAGCUUGCUUUCUUGCUGACGAGUGGCGGACGGGUGAGUAAUGCUUGGGAAUCUGGCUUAUGGAGGGGGAUAACGACGGGAAACUGUCGCUAAUACCGCGUAGAGUCGAGAGACGAAAGUGCGGGACCGCAAGGCCGCAUGCCAUAGGAUGAGCCCAAGUGGGAUUAGGUAGUUGGUGGGGUAAUGGCCUACCAAGCCGACGAUCUCUAGCUGGUCUGAGAGGAUGACCAGCCACACCGGGACUGAGACACGGCCCGGACUCCUACGGGAGGCAGCAGUGGGGAAUAUUGCGCAAUGGGGGCAACCCUGACGCAGCCAUGCCGCGUGAAUGAAGAAGGCCUUCGGGUUGUAAAGUUCUUUCGGUGACGAGGAAGGAGUGAUGUUUAAUAGGCAUCACGAUUGAC